Molecule: long non-coding RNA, 1898 nt
Organism: Nymphaea colorata (pocket water lily)
Lineage: Eukaryota; Viridiplantae; Streptophyta; Magnoliopsida; Nymphaeales; Nymphaeaceae
Exons: 2
Source: RefSeq, a predicted model, not a curated record
CUGAUGUUAUCCUUUCUGCGUAGGCUGUUCAUCAGUCUUUCUUCUGGCUAGAGAGAGAGAGAGAGAGAGUCUUUCUCUCUCCUGGGUGCUGAUGGAGAGUGCCAUAAGAGAAUCGGUGAAGCUGCCAGCAUGAUCUGGCUGUAUGGGCUUGGUCGGUGGGUUCGAACCCUGGCCGCCCGGCCAUGCUAGGUCAUGCUCCGGCAGCCUCACCUCUUCUCUUGUACUGGCAAAAAAUGAAACUCAGAAUUCUGUUUGGAGUGCGUGCUGCAAAAUGGUGCUCACCUCCAAACCCUAACCUCUGUGGAACUUUUCCCUUUUCCUUGGCACGCUUGCAUGGUUAUGCCUGUCUUUCCAAUAGCAAGAAGGCAUCAUGUCAGUUUUUAUGCAUAUGAAGGCAUGUUAAACAUGAUUUUUAUCGUUUUUAGUCCUCUUUUCUUUUUGCAUGUGUUACUGUUUUCAAGAGAAUGGAAGUUUUAUUUUAAGAAUCAACCGAGAAAAGAUGCGUCUUUUUUUCAACUUUUGCUCGCAUGCGUGGAUGAAUAAAGCUAGUCUUAAGCAAACAAGGAAAAGGCGCUACGAGAGAGAAGAAAAACCCUAGCCGCUGAGGGCCGGCCUAUGAUCUCUCUUUUUCUGGUUCUUUUUUGUUUUCAAAAUGUUGUGAUUGGAUGAGCUAUUUCUGUGGCAGAUUCUGUAAGCAUCGUAAAUGGUUCAAAGUGUGAGAAGGCCUAUGAUGUUGUACGAGAUUGAGCAUGAAGCAGCCCUAUUUCUGUUAGGCCUGUCAGGUUUGGCUGCUCUGAGUCUUGAAUGGCCAUGAGAUUUGAUGUCUCGAAACACCAUUUUAAUAAUAAUAAUUAUUAUUAUUUUAAAAUGGUAGUUAAUAUAACACCAUCAUUGAGUGAGAGAAGAUCAAGUACUAAUCCACCUUCAAAGAUGCAAUACAGAAGCUCUUUAUGAGUGUUCUUUCAUCAGUUUUCAUUAGCGCUGGCUCUCUUCAAUUACGUGAUGUUUUGGUUGAUUUUCGAAAGGAAACUCAGUCCCGGUAGCAUUUUGUUGGUAGAUAUAUCAAGAUCGAUUUUGGUGUGUCCUUCCUUCGGAAAGAGAAGGAAGUAACCUGACUGCAUUAAUAAACGAAUGCCUUCUGCGAAUGCAAGCUUCUUUGCUUUCGUGAUGAGUUUCUGCCAUUUCUUUUGUUCCAUCAGCAUUUUUUGUGAACUAAGAGUAUAAAUCCACAGAGAGAGAGAGAGAGCAAAUUGAGAUGGUGUAGACUUUCUGCUAGUUGCUUAGCUCCAGGAGCAUUUUUUAUGAUCUAAGAGUGCAAAUCCAGAGUGAGAGAGAGAGAGAGAGUAAAAUGAGAAGGUGUAAAGUAAAAGGGACCCGGUUAUAGACGACCACAUCCAGCAAAAAUUUCAUGGUUAUACAGAGAGAGAGAGAGAGAGAGAGAGAGAGAGAGAUGUUGCUCAUGCAAAUAUCAUAAUUUCAUGUAUGUGAAUAUUUAUAUCAUGAUCAUAUGACAAACUUAAAACACAUGGAACUCAUUCAUGGUAUCAACAUGCACAAACAUCGGUACAUCUUAAAUGUAUGUAUGACCUCAAGUAUAUAUGCAAGCCGACCUCAAAUGACAAGCAGAAAAGAGAAAAUUACGGAGGCAACAAAAAUAUAUGUUUUUUAGAUUUCUCUUGUUUAGGUAGGAUGAAAAAUUCCUUUGGAGUCUCACAGCAUAUUGCUUAUCAAUUGACAAUUUGCUGAUAGCUGUGAUUGAAAUUGAACUGAGAUUUGGAUGGCUGGAUGACACCAGGGAGAAAUCCUGCUUGAUGCACGUAAUUUGUUGUGUUUAAUCGGGUCUGCCUGUGAUGGCGUUGUUUAGGGGGGGAGAUGAAUAUAGCUUGGAGGAUUUUACU